Molecule: ribosomal RNA, 1359 nt
Filed under: uncultured bacterium
Lineage: Bacteria
Description: bacterial SSU rRNA
Rfam family: Bacterial small subunit ribosomal RNA
Source: RNAcentral
GAUGAACGCUAGCUACAGGCUUAACACAUGCAAGUCGAGGGGCAGCAUUUCAGUUUGCUUGCAAACUGGAGAUGGCGACCGGCGCACGGGUGAGUAACACGUAUCCAACCUGCCGAUAACUCGGGGAUAGCCUUUCGAAAGAAAGAUUAAUACCCGAUGGUAUAAUCAGACCGCAUGGUCUUGUUAUUAAAGAAUUUCGGUUAUCGAUGGGGAUGCGUUCCAUUAGGCAGUUGGUGAGGUAACGGCUCACCAAACCUUCGAUGGAUAGGGGUUCUGAGAGGAAGGUCCCCCACAUUGGAACUGAGACACGGUCCAAACUCCUACGGGAGGCAGCAGUGAGGAAUAUUGGUCAAUGGGCGCAGGCCUGAACCAGCCAAGUAGCGUGAAGGAUGACUGCCCUAUGGGUUGUAAACUUCUUUUAUAUGGGAAUAAAGUUUUCCACGUGUGGAAUUUUGUAUGUACCAUAUGAAUAAGGAUCGGCUAACUCCGUGCCAGCAGCCGCGGUAAUACGGAGGAUCCGAGCGUUAUCCGGAUUUAUUGGGUUUAAAGGGAGCGUAAGUGGACAGUUAAGUCAGUUGUGAAAGUUUGCGGCUCAACCGUAAAAUUGCAGUUGAUACUGGCUGUCUUGAGUACAGUAGAGGUGGGCGGAAUUCGUGGUGUAGCGGUGAAAUGCUUAGAUAUCACGAAGAACUCCGAUUGCGAAGGCAGCUCACUGGACUGCAACUGACACUGAUGCUCGAAAGUGUGGGUAUCAAACAGGAUUAGAUACCCUGGUAGUCCACACAGUAAACGAUGAAUACUCGCUGUUUGCGAUAUACAGUAAGCGGCCAAGCGAAAGCAUUAAGUAUUCCACCUGGGGAGUACGCCGGCAACGGUGAAACUCAAAGGAAUUGACGGGGGCCCGCACAAGCGGAGGAACAUGUGGUUUAAUUCGAUGAUACGCGAGGAACCUUACCCGGGCUUAAAUUGCAUUUGAAUAUAUUGGAAACAGUAUAGCCGUAAGGCAAAUGUGAAGGUGCUGCAUGGUUGUCGUCAGCUCGUGCCGUGAGGUGUCGGCUUAAGUGCCAUAACGAGCGCAACCCUUAUCUUUAGUUACUAACAGGUCAUGCUGAGGACUCUAGAGAGACUGCCGUCGUAAGAUGUGAGGAAGGUGGGGAUGACGUCAAAUCAGCACGGCCCUUACGUCCGGGGCUACACACGUGUUACAAUGGGGGGUACAGAAGGCAGCUACCUGGUGACAGGAUGCUAAUCCCAAAAGCCUCUCUCAGUUCGGAUCGAAGUCUGCAACCCGACUUCGUGAAGCUGGAUUCGCUAGUAAUCGCGCAUCAGCCAUGGCGCGGUGAAUACGUUCCCGGGCCU